RNAcentral lists this ribosomal RNA (254 nucleotides) under uncultured bacterium. RNAcentral describes it as "partial 16S ribosomal RNA". It matches the Rfam family "Bacterial small subunit ribosomal RNA", at positions 524 to 776 of the family's 1533-position model. The record is from RNAcentral.
UACGUAGGGGGCAAGCGUUGUUCGGAUUUACUGGGCGUAAAGGGCGCGUAGGCGGCGCGUAAAGUCGGACAUGAAAUCAUUGGGCUUAACCCAAUGGCUGUGACCGAUACUUGCGUGCUUAGAGUGCGGGAGAGGCAAUCGGAAUUCUCGGUGUAGCGGUGAAAUGCGUAGAGAUCGAGAGGAACUCCAGUGACUAAGGUGGGUUGCUGGACCGACACUGACGCUGAGGUGCGAAAGCUAGGGGAGCAAACGGG